UACGGAGGGUGCAAGCGUUAUCCGGAUUCACUGGGUUUAAAGCGCGUGUAGGCGGCCCUGCAAGUCGGAUGUGAAAUCCCACGGCUCAACCGUGGAAGUGCAUUCGAAACUGCAGGGCUAGAGUCCUGGAGAGGAAGGUGGAAUGCUUGGUGUAGAGGUGAAAUUCGUAGAUAUCAAGCGGAACACCGGUGGCGAAGGCGGCCUUCUGGACAGUGACUGACGCUGAGACGCGAAAGCGUGGGGAGCAAACAGG
Molecule: ribosomal RNA, 253 nt
Filed under: uncultured bacterium
Lineage: Bacteria
Description: partial 16S ribosomal RNA
Rfam family: Bacterial small subunit ribosomal RNA
Source: RNAcentral